CCUUUCUGCUUUGUCAUCCGGAUCCAGUUCCACGCUUCACCUUUGGUUUUGAAGACUGGGAGACUUAAAGGAAUCUUUGACUUUGGGUACUCUCUACAGACUUGGCUCAUAGUCAGCUUCAGGCUCCUCCUGUGUAUAGUACCUCUGAGCACAAUACAUUGUCCCUUUUAGUUUCAGCUCCCAAGAGCCAAACUUGCCAUUAGCAUCCAGGCAGGGCCCACUUGGUUCCUCACUGAGGAGUGUUAGGCAACUACGGAGCUGGUAGGUUUGUCUUUUUGUUCCAGGUACAGAGUUGUUUAUCUGUCUAGAAAAGGCCAGGCAUUGGUCUUUUUGACGUGAAAAAAGUUCAAGCCAGAAAACGGGCAAGCUGCUGUGAGCAUGUAACAUCUGUGAUGUCACAAACGUCUGUUUACAGACAGAGAAUGUGGACUCAUUUUCUAAGCCCUUGAAGUGUCUAGGACAGCAGGCUGCAUGGCAAAGCAGGGAGAUACAUCUGCUGAAUUGAAUUCAGUAUACUCAAAAUUCAGAUAUUCCAUUUUGCCAAGAGAUGGCGGAUGUGAGCAUAUCUCUUCAGUUCAGACCAUAUUUACAUCGUUUAGCUAUGACAUGGGCCUGGAGUUUUCUCUGCUCAAUUCAGGCAUAACAAUCAGCUAGAUUGAAACUCAUUGUUUGCAUGCCAUUCAGAGAGGAUAAGUAGUUAAGAAGACCCUACACUGACAUCUGUCAAGGGUAUGCCAUUUCACCAUGUGACACAUAGAGUAAGCCCAUGGCAGUUUGAAAGGCAGAUGCAAUGUUCUCUGCUCUGCGAUCCCUGCUGUCAAGAGUCUGCUGUGGCAUUUUGAUGAGUGAAAAAGAGAAGAUGCUAUUUUGCUGCACUUAUUCACAUACACCGUGCAUCGCCAGCUUCCAGCACUGGAAAACUGCAGGCUCUUCCUCAAACCCACUACAGCAUAAUCCCCUGAUAGGCGUGGAACAGAGCUAAAAAUUUGUCAAUCUGAAAGGUAUAUUUUUAAAAAAUCAUG
RNAcentral lists this long non-coding RNA (1022 nucleotides) under Equus asinus (donkey). RNAcentral's name for it is "lncRNA (ENSEASG00005029200.1)". The record is from RNAcentral. Lineage: Eukaryota; Metazoa; Chordata; Mammalia; Perissodactyla; Equidae.